RNAcentral lists this long non-coding RNA (794 nucleotides) under Monodelphis domestica (gray short-tailed opossum). RNAcentral describes it as "lncRNA (ENSMODG00000047707.1)". The record is from RNAcentral. Lineage: Eukaryota; Metazoa; Chordata; Mammalia; Didelphimorphia; Didelphidae.
CAAUCUUACCUUUUCAGAUUGAUUUUACAUUAUGCCCCGUUCAUAAAGUCUAGGUUACACUAAAAUUAGCCUACUUGCCCUUCCCUUAUGUAAAACUUUUCCUUUUCCUACUUGUGUGCCUUUGAAUAGACUGUCCUCUGGAACUACAAUCAAUUCUUCCAUUCCUUCCUCCUUUUAGAACACAUGACUCUCUUUAAGAUUCAGCUUAAAGGUGAGUUUUUCCCAAACUCCCCAGUUCCUAGUCCUCCCCAUUCCCCUUAAUUGCUUUUCAUUUAUUGAGUGUAUAUUUUGCAUUGACUUAUUGGUAUAUCAUUCCAUUUCUUCCAGGUGCAAUUGUAGAGUAUAAGCCCUUUGAGGACAAGGACUCUUGAUUUUGUCAUUGUAUCCCUUGCACAUCAUAGAGGACAUUCUCUUAUUCAAGGAGCCAACUUCUUUUGCAACAAAGAAAUUAUCAAUAUUGUCUGAAUUGUAACCUUUCCCUUCCAGCUCACCAGAUGCAAGCUUAAUUGAUUUAAGCAGUGUAAAGAUCCAGGACAACUCCAAGGGACUCCCGAAGAAAAAAGCGAUCCCCUGUCACAGAGGGAAGCAUACUGUUCUUCAUUUUCUAUCAUCCAUGGAAUUUUCUCUGGUCAACACUGAUGCCCCAAAGGUCUGGUCUCCAUGGAACCCUCUCCUGAGGUCUUUUUCUCAUCCCAGUGAAGGUUAAGGAAUGGAUCAUAUUCUCUGGGAGAUGGAUACUUUCUCUUUAGAGCUAACCACACUUGUGGCGAGUUAUCUUCUCCACCUUUCUUGAC